Molecule: ribosomal RNA, 285 nt
Filed under: Triticum aestivum (bread wheat)
Lineage: Eukaryota; Viridiplantae; Streptophyta; Magnoliopsida; Poales; Poaceae
Description: partial small subunit ribosomal RNA
Source: RNAcentral
AUCUGGACCAUCCGUCUGCCACUCAAGAUCAGGAUUUUCAUGUGGCAAUGGAUCUGUGGCCGUCUUCCCUCUGGCGUGGAGGUGAUUAAGCGUCAUGGUCCGGGUGACGGUCUAUGCCCCCUUUGCGGGACGGAAGAAACUUUGAAUCACAUCUUCUUCUCGUGCGUGUCUGCCCAGUUCCUUUGGGGUUGCCUCCGCGAGGUGAUCGGUGGGGUUUGGUGCAACACCAACUUCCCUGACCUCCUUGCCGAGAUCCAGGCCACCCCCAUCGGGCCACCACAUUAG